This is a long non-coding RNA of Pipistrellus kuhlii (Kuhl's pipistrelle), 165 nucleotides long. RefSeq lists it as uncharacterized. Lineage: Eukaryota; Metazoa; Chordata; Mammalia; Chiroptera; Vespertilionidae. The record is from RefSeq and is a predicted model, not a curated record. The transcript has 3 exons.
UUUUAACUGGUGUGCUGCAAGAAGUUUUAAAACAUGCAAUACCUGCCUAUUUAGUCAGGGGUACUGACCUCUCUUCCCUUAGAUUGUCAAAUAAAAAUUGACAAUAGCCAACAUAACAAUAACUGUCUGGUGUGAAUAAGUCAAAAUUAUAACAAUAUUUUUUUC